AGAGUUUGAUCAUGGCUCAGGAUGAACGCUAGCGGUGCGCCUAACACAUGCAAGUCGAGCGCCCCCACCCUGCUUUUGAUUCGCCACGGCGAAUCGAAGGUGGCGUGGGGGAGCGGCGAACGGGUGAGUAACACGUUGGAACCUGCCCCGAACUCAGGGAUAGCUCGCCGAAAGGCGAAUUAAUACCGGAUAAUCCCGCAAGGGUAAAGAUUUUUCGGUUCGGGAGGGGCCUGCGGCCUAUCAGCUAGUUGGUAAGGUAACGGCUUACCAAGGCUAUGACGGGUAACUGGUGUGAGAGCACGACCAGUCACAAUGGAACUGAGACACGGUCCAUACUCCUACGGGAGGCAGCAGUGAGGAAUCUUCCGCAAUGGGCGAAAGCCUGACGGAGCGACACCGCGUGAAGGAUGAAGGCCUUUUGGUUGUAAACUUCUUUUCUGGGGGAAUAAAUGAUGAAGGUACCCCAGGAAUAAGCACCGGCUAACUACGUGCCAGUAGCCGCGGUAAUACGUAGGGUGCAAGCGUUAUCCGGAAUUAUUGGGCGUAAAGAGUUCGUAGGUGGUUUGGAAAGUUUGCGGUUAAAUCCGGUCGCUCAACGAUCGAAUCGCUGCGAAAACUCCCAAACUCGAGAACGGCAGAGGCAACUGGAAUUCCACAUGUAGGGGUAAAAUCCGUUGAUAUGUGGAGGAACACCAAAAGCGAAGGCAGGUUGCUGGGCCGUUUCUGACACUGAGGAACGAAAGCGUGGGGAGCAAACAGGAUUAGAUACCCUAGUAGUCC
Molecule: ribosomal RNA, 780 nt
Filed under: uncultured bacterium
Lineage: Bacteria
Description: bacterial SSU rRNA
Rfam family: Bacterial small subunit ribosomal RNA
Source: RNAcentral